RNAcentral lists this ribosomal RNA (402 nucleotides) under uncultured Methanosaeta sp. RNAcentral describes it as "bacterial SSU rRNA". It matches the Rfam family "Archaeal small subunit ribosomal RNA", at positions 937 to 1338 of the family's 1478-position model. Lineage: Archaea; Methanobacteriati; Methanobacteriota; Methanomicrobia; Methanotrichales; Methanotrichaceae. The record is from RNAcentral.
CGACAGCAAUAUGAAGGUCAGGCUGAAGACCUUACCCGAUUAGCUGAGAGGUGGUGCAUGGCCGUCGUCAGUUCGUACUGUGAAGCAUCCUGUUAAGUCAGGCAACGAGCGAGACCCACGUCCACAGUUGCCAGCAUACCCUCCGGGGUGAUGGGUACACUGUGGAGACCGCCGCUGCUAAAGCGGAGGAGGGAGUGGGCAACGGUAGGUCAGUAUGCCCCGAAUCUCCCGGGCUACACGCGGGCUACAAUGGUUGGUACAAUGGGCAUCUACCCCGAAAGGGGAAGGAAAUCUCUUAAAGCCAAUCGUAGUUCGGAUUGAGGGCUGCAACUCGCCCUCAUGAAGCUGGAAUCCGUAGUAAUCGCGUUUCAACAGAACGCGGUGAAUACGUCCCUGCUCCUU